CGGCGCAUGCGCGGUUAAGCGCCCUGCGCGAGGACGGCCUGUUUUAAUAGUUACCCGGAUCCGAGGGAGGAGCAAUGGCGGCAACAGCGGCGGCGUCCUGGGUCAUUGACAGGAGCUGAAGCGACGCCUGCCCGCAGCAGCGUCCCCUCCGGUGGACGUCGGGCCUUUCCACACGACGCUUGGCGGCGGUGUGUGGGGGUUUAUUUAUUUAUUUAGCCUUCACGUUAUGUUUUGCUUCGCUUGCUAGUAGUGCCUGAGUGCUGCGGCGUUUGUAACGGGAACGCGGUUUAGGCGAGGAGGCGUUCCGUUUCCGAGGGGAGUCUUUUAUUUAUCGGAAGCCGUUUAAUGGGGGAGCGCUGUCGGGAUCGAAUGGCCCUCCGCAGAGCCGGCCCAAGACCUUUUGCCACCUGAGGCGGCCUCUUCCGCCCCUCCGCCAGGGAAGAAGCGGGGAGCGGAGAUGGACUUCGGGACCCUGCGGACCCUGCCGCCUGAGGCGGUCGCCGCCUCACCUUGUCUCGUGGGUGGGCCGGCCCUGAUGCCCAGUCACGUUUAAAGACAAUAGAAGCCAUAGUAAGGAAGGGGAAAGCAGUUGAUGUUGCCCAUCAUGAGUGAGCAGCUGGACGGCAGACUCCGCAGCCAAUGCAGCUUACACAAUUCCCCCUCCGUGGUGCCACUGAACUGAAGGCGCAACCACCAUGGAUUGAACCUCUGGCACAGCACAAGAAAGACCUCCUUAGAUGACCACGGUAAACAGGCAGGCAUAGAAGGGGUAAAGCAAUCUCACAUCCUGGUCCCAAGUUAUGUAGGGCUUUAUACAUUAGCAGUAAGACCUUACAUUUGGUCCAGUAACAUAGUGGCAGCUAGUGAAGUUUAGUGCUGAUGUUCUGUGUUGACAGACAGCAACCCUGGCUGCAGGGGCAGCCCGAGACCUCACUUAUUUCACAAAAUCACUAAGGAGGUGCCUGCACAUUUUGCCCCCAUAAGUUAAGACACUUUUUUUAAAAAAAAUGAAA
Long non-coding RNA from Zootoca vivipara (common lizard), 1013 nucleotides. RefSeq lists it as uncharacterized. The record is from RefSeq and is a predicted model, not a curated record. NCBI's taxonomy places the organism in Eukaryota, Metazoa, Chordata, Lepidosauria, Squamata, Lacertidae.